Pan troglodytes (chimpanzee) is the source of this 1025-nucleotide long non-coding RNA. RefSeq annotates it as gastric cancer associated WDR5 and KAT2A binding lncRNA. The transcript is spliced from 6 exons. The record is from RefSeq and is a predicted model, not a curated record. Lineage: Eukaryota; Metazoa; Chordata; Mammalia; Primates; Hominidae.
GCACGCAGCCCACGUCUUCCGACGGUCCGGGUUCUCCCGCCCUUCACGGGGCUUCUGUCGUGAACCCUCUCACGGCAGCUAUGAGACUGCUGCGCUCCCCAGACGAGGAGACCUGGUCUCCCGGAGCCAGCGAGGGGACGCACAGCCUCACUCAGGAGGGAGCCAGUAACACUGAACCUGAACCCAAGCCAGCCUUAGACUGAACUUUCAAAGUACAAUUAAACAACGCCGUGAGGAAAUGGAACAUUCGACAAGGUGUGAUGACCGUGUCGUGUCAUGCAGAAAAAUGUCCUUAUUUCUAGGAAUUGCAUGCUGAGAUCUCGAGUCUUGCUUUGUCGCCCAGGCUGGAGUGCAGUGGCGUGAUCUCGGCUCACUGCAACCUUUGCCUCCCAGGUUCAAGUGAUUCUCCUGCCUCAGUCUCCUGAGUAACUGAGAUUACAGCUCUGGGACAAACCAGCUUCUAUGUCAUGAGUACACUCAGGCAGCUCAUUGGAGAGAUCUGCAUGGUAAAGCAAUGAGGCCUCCUGCCAGCAGCCAUGUGAGUGGCAUCUUGGAGCCAGACCCUCCAGCCCCAGUCAAGCCUUCGGAUGCCUGCAGCCCUGGCUGACAUUUUAACCACAACUUCAUGCGAGAUUCUGAGCCAGAAUCACCCAGCUAAGCUGCUCCCGGGUUGCCAGCUUCCAGAAUCACGGUAGGAUGACCUCUCUCCCCUGCUUGGAAGUUACGUAUAUCCAGCAACUUUGAAAUUGAGUAAGACUGGGAUGUGUCAUCCCCAAGAGGGCACUUCAAGAGCCAGUGUGCCAUCACAACCUCUUUCUCUCCCUCUAUCAAACCAGUUGCCAGUGUUAUAAAUAAUGAGACCAUGCUCUAUCAGCUUGGGGCCAGGGGUUGGGGUGAUGUGGAGCAGAGCUGUUAGCUGACCCACCAUGGAUGUGUAGCAGCGGAAGAAGCAAGCCAUGUGCUGUUGAAGCACCCACAUUUUGGAUGUUACUGCAGCACAACCUGAACUAUACUGACUGAUGCAG